Molecule: ribosomal RNA, 497 nt
Filed under: uncultured bacterium
Lineage: Bacteria
Description: partial 16S ribosomal RNA
Rfam family: Bacterial small subunit ribosomal RNA
Source: RNAcentral
GAUGAACGCUGGCGGCGUGCCUAAUACAUGCAAGUCGAGCGAACAGACGAGGAGCUUGCUCCUCUGACGUUAGCGGCGGACGGGUGAGUAACACGUGGAUAACCUACCUAUAAGACUGGGAUAACUUCGGGAAACCGGAGCUAAUACCGGAUAACAUGUUGAACCGCAUGGUUCAACAGUGAAAGACGGUCUUGCUGUCACUUAUAGAUGGAUCCGCGCGGCAUUAGCUAGUUGGUAAGGUAACGGCUUACCAAGGCAACGAUGCAUAGCCGACCUGAGAGGGUGAUCGGCCACACUGGAAGUGAGACCCGGUCCAGACUCCUACGGGAGGCAGCAGUAGGGAAUCUUCCGCAAUGGGCGAAAGCCUGACGGAGCAACGCCGCGUGAGUGAAGAAGGUCUUCGGAUCGUAAAACUCUGUUAUGAGGGAAGAACAAAUGUGUAAGUAACUGUGCACGUCUUGACGGUACCUAGUCAGAAAGCCACGGCUAACUACGUG